GCUGGCGGCGUGCUUAACACAUGCAAGUCGAACGAGAAAUCUUUAGCUUGCUAGAGAAAGUAAAGUGGCGCACGGGUGAGUAACGCGUGGGUAAUCUGCCUCCGAAUCGGGGAUAACAUUGCGAAAGCGAUGCUAAUACCGGAUAAAAUCUGGUUGGCUUCGGUGAACCGGAUCAAAGGUGGUCUCUUUAUAAAAGCUACCGUUUGGAGAUGAGCUCGCGUACCAUUAGCUAGUUGGUGAGGUAAAGGCUCACCAAGGCGACGAUGGUUAGCUGGUCUGAGAGGAUGAUCAGCCACACCGGAACUGGAACACGGUCCGGACUCCUACGGGAGGCAGCAGUGAGGAAUUUUGCGCAAUGGGGGAAACCCUGACGCAGCAACGCCGCGUGAGUGAUGAAGGCUUUCGGGUCGUAAAGCUCUGUCAGGUGGGAAGAACCCACCAAGUGUUAAGACCACUUGGUGCUGACGGUACCACCGAAGGAAGCACCGGCUAACUCCGUGCCAGCAGCCGCGGUAAUACGGGGGGUGCGAGCGUUAUUCGGAAUCAUUGGGCGUAAAGGGCGCGCAGGCGGUUAUGUAAGUCAGAUGUGAAAUCCCGGGGCUUAACCCCGGAAGUGCAUAUGAAACUAUGAGACUUGAGUAUGGG
RNAcentral lists this ribosomal RNA (645 nucleotides) under uncultured organism. Its description in RNAcentral is "bacterial SSU rRNA". It matches the Rfam family "Bacterial small subunit ribosomal RNA", at positions 35 to 652 of the family's 1533-position model. The record is from RNAcentral.